GACGAACGCUGGCGGCGUGCUUAACACAUGCAAGUCGAACGGAAAGGCCCUGCUUUUGUGGGGUGCUCGAGUGGCGAACGGGUGAGUAACACGUGAGUAACCUGCCCUUGACUUUGGGAUAACUUCAGGAAACUGGGGCUAAUACCGGAUAGGAGCUCCUGCUGCAUGGUGGGGGUUGGAAAGUUUCGGCGGGUGGGGAUGGACUCGCGGCUUAUCAGCCUGUUGGUGGGGUAGUGGCUUACCAAGGCUUUGACGGGUAGCCGGCCUGAGAGGGUGACCGGCCACAGUGGGACUGAGAUACGGACCAGACUCCUACGGUAGGCAGCAGGGGGGAAUAUUGCACAAUGGGCGGAAGCCUGAUGCAGCAACGCCGCGUGCGGGAUGACGGCCUGCGGGUUGUAAACCGCUUUCGCCUGUGACGAAGCGUGAGUGACGGUAAUGGGUAAAGAAGCACCGGCUAACUACGUG
Molecule: ribosomal RNA, 468 nt
Filed under: uncultured bacterium
Lineage: Bacteria
Description: partial 16S ribosomal RNA
Rfam family: Bacterial small subunit ribosomal RNA
Source: RNAcentral